RNAcentral lists this ribosomal RNA (820 nucleotides) under Cassiopea xamachana. RNAcentral describes it as "partial large subunit ribosomal RNA". Lineage: Eukaryota; Metazoa; Cnidaria; Scyphozoa; Rhizostomeae; Cassiopeidae. The record is from RNAcentral.
GGGUUGCUUGGGAAUGCAGCCCAAAAUUGGUGGUAGACUCCAUCUAAAGCUAAAUACUGGCACGAGACCGAUAGCGAACAAGUACCGUGAGGGAAAGAUGAAAAGAACUUUGAAAAGAGAGUUAAAAAGUGCGUGAAACCGUUAGAGGGGAAGCGGAUGAAGUUAGCAAUGCCCCCGCGAGACUCAGGUGGAUGGCAUACCUCUGGAUGCGACGCGUGGCUGACGGAUCCGAAUGGACUGUCGUUACGUGGCCGUUCCAGCCAGCCGCCGCACUUCUCGUGCCGGGGCGCGUCAACAACUGCUGGACGACAGGGGCUAGACGGCACUYGCAGCGAAAGGUAGGCGUCUUACUAUGACUCGGCUACUUUGCGGUGGUCGAGGAGAUGCUGUUAUAGACGCUGUUGUGUCCCAGCUCCAGUCUGGCAGAGGCUAGCUAGCGGUGUGUGCUCGCAACUUCGGUCGUGGGCUGGCAUCCUGCUGCGUGUUCUUGUAGUCGUCAGCUGUGCACUGCUUGCAGUUCACUUCAGACGGUGAAAAGGCGCGUGCAGUGUAUGCACACUAUGUGCACCAUGGUUGUUGGCGGCCAUAUGGCUUCUUCCGACCCGUCUUGAAACACGGACCAAGGAGUCUAACAUGUGCGCGAGUCUUGGGGUGACCGAAACCCAGAGGCACAAUGAAAGUGAAGGCCGCCGUGCAAAGGCACUGCUCUCGUGGCUGGUGUACUAGCCGGUGGCUUAGGUGAGAUCUCUGCUUGCCACCUCGUGGCUGGCAGUGGCGCAUCAUCGACCGACCURUUCUACUCCUAGAAAGGUUUGAGUAA